RNAcentral lists this small RNA (455 nucleotides) under Caenorhabditis elegans. Its description in RNAcentral is "Unclassified non-coding RNA T22A3.15". Lineage: Eukaryota; Metazoa; Nematoda; Chromadorea; Rhabditida; Rhabditidae. The record is from RNAcentral.
AACUUCCUGAAACUGGACGAGCAUCAGUAGAUGUUCCUUCUUCUCCAUCGACAUCCAUUUUCUGUGCAGGAUCUGAAAAAAAGUUUCCGAUUAUUCGGUUUGUUUGAAAAACUCACUUUUGACGCCUUCAAAACGGAUUGGACUAUCAAUUUGAUCGAUUUCGGUAUCAUUAGCCGAAAUUUCUUGUAUUUUAUCUUCUGGUGGAGAGUCCAAAUAUGGAAAUAGUUCUUCAGAUGAAUUAGAAUCUUCAACAAUAUUCUCAUCUUUCACUGGUGUUGUUUCUUUUACAACGGAAGCAUUUUCCAUUGUCUCUUCAACUCCUUCUUCCAUUUUUUCUACUUCCUCCUCUUCAUCCUCUUCUUCAUCAUCGACGUCUAGAUCUUCAGGGCCUGAAAUUUCAUAUUUUAUUCAGAGAUAAAACCAUUGGCUUCUUUUUGUAUUUUAAAACAAUUCUG